Thalassophryne amazonica is the source of this 1739-nucleotide long non-coding RNA. RefSeq lists it as uncharacterized. The transcript has 2 exons. The record is from RefSeq and is a predicted model, not a curated record. Lineage: Eukaryota; Metazoa; Chordata; Actinopteri; Batrachoidiformes; Batrachoididae.
AUUUGCAAUGACUUUAGUUUUGUGUCAUGUCUGUGAUCUGCUUUUUUCUACAAAAUUAAACAACUGAAUGAACAUCCUCCGAGGCCGGUGAUUCCAUAAUUUUUGCCAGAGGUUGUAGAAACAUGUUUCAGUGUAACUGUAGCAGUCCUCACUCUUCUCUUGUGGCUUCUUUUUUCCUCCUCCCACAUAGUUUGCUGGACUUUUGAAGCAAAGGGAUCCAGUGGUUUAUCCUGGUUGUGCUUUAUUAUCGGCCUGUAAUGACAAAUGAGUACAUUUUAAUCAAACGUUCAUGGUGCAUCACAUUCAAGCCCCAACAUCUGCUGCUAAAAAAGUGAAGCCAACACAGAAGUGCCAAACAUGCAUUUCCUUGACUGGCCACUUGAGGCUGUUUGUUUUUUUCUUUUUUAAAGCAAUUAAUUUCCCAUAAAAUCUUUAAACCAUAUUUUUCUGUCAUUAGGCUGUGUUUGUUUUGAGUGACAGCUGUGUCCAGGGUUCAAGGACAAGUCAACGUGUAGACAUGAAUAUCCAGGAAUUAAACCAACAUCUUUUUGUGUCCUCUUCCAGCUUUAAUGGCAGCCAGAUGUUCUUUAUGGAUCUUUUCCUCUGCCUUGAUCUUUUUCUGACGUUCUUCUUGAGCCUGAAGCAAAUGAUAAUGAACAGACACAGACAUUUUUAACACGAGAUUAGAAACCUGACAGUUUUCAUACAGACGGGUCAGGUCUUGGAGCACGUGCUGGUCCUGAAUCUGAUUCACCAAAAACAUGAAAUCAACACCAACCUUCUUGAAUUUGAGUCUGAGGUGGGGGUAGUCCUUAGUUGGUCCUGUGUCAACAACGGGUUCAGUUACUGACUUCAUCUGAAUAGAAAAAAAAAACAUGUUCAGGUCCACAAAUAAGAAGAUAACAUUAAUUGAAGAGACAGUGGAGAAAAUAUCUCUUGGAUUUGCAUGACUUAUAUAUGUCCAAUAACAUGAUAUCUUAUGUUCCUAACUGAUAUAUAGAAACAUGUUUCAGUGUAACUGUAGCAGUCCUCACUCUUCUCUUGUGGCUUCUUUUUUCCUCCUCCCACAUAGUUUGCUCGAAUUUUGAAUCAAAGUGUGGUUUAUUCUGGCUGCGCUUUGUCAUCGCCCUGUAAUGACAAAUGAGUACAUUUUAAUCAAACAUGUUCAUGGUGCAUCACAUUCAAGCCCCAACAUCUGCUGCUAAAAAAGUGACGCACAGAAGUGCCAAAACAUGCAUUUCCUUGACUGGCCACUUGAGGCUUUUUUUUAAAGUGAUUCAUUCCCUGUAAAACCUUUAAGCCAUGACUCGUUAGGCCGUGUUUGUUUUGAGUGACAGCUGUGUCCAGGGUUCAAGGCCCCACUAACAGCGGCUGGUGCGGAAUCUGCCGCAUUUGUUGAAGAAAAAUGCAUUUCCAGACAGACUUGGAUCAAAUCCCAAAGUAACACUAACCUGUUGUUUUGUAUGUUGGGGUGUUGUCCUCUUUCAACCUUGAUGACAAGCAGGUGAUGUUUGUCACUUUUUGUUCUUUAGUUUGAAGCACAUGUUAAUGAACAACACAGAAAGACGAUUUUAACAAAAGAUAAGAAAAUGAACAGUAAUUAAGAGAUAUAUUCUUGAGGCAAAACAGGACUUGGCAUUGGCUGAGACAAAACCUAAUCAAAUUCAAACAAAACAUGGCUGUUUUUGUGGAGCGUGUGUCUGUGCUGUGUUUGAAAUGAGACAGUGUUGAAAAAAAAA